This is a non-coding RNA of Schizosaccharomyces pombe (fission yeast), 969 nucleotides long. NCBI's taxonomy places the organism in Eukaryota, Fungi, Ascomycota, Schizosaccharomycetes, Schizosaccharomycetales, Schizosaccharomycetaceae. The record is from the annotation of a GenBank genome assembly.
UGAAUUUUAAAAACGAAACAACGCCAUGUAAUAAAUAAGUUUUCUAGACCGCAAAUUAAAGAGUAAUUAAAUCAUUUGGUAUUGUUUCCAUGCUUUGAAACGAUGAAAAAUCUCUGAAAACAGCAGAUAACUGAACCCGCAGAAAGAGCUUCAAAUAUUUAUCGCUCUUCUGAGUACAAUCAUUGAGUAAUGGAAAGCAGAAUCGACAAGUUUCAGUAAAAGCAACAAGUUUAGUAAAAUUCGGCAAGAGCAUUAAGGAUUUGACCUGCAGUUUUAAAGCAAACUUUCACAGCUUUCUAGGAUUUGAUGAGCAAUUGAUGGCUCAUCAAUUACUUCUUUCUACGACUUGGACUACGAGGUUGAGAGGAAUCACGACUAACAUUGCCCAUUACAACGUCGUCUUCAAGGCCAAACACUUUAGGAUUAAAACCUGGAAUAAUGCCUGGCUCUACAGAGAACACAUGAUGUAAAAAUUCAAUGUCAAUAGGAACUUCUUCUCGAAUAGGGUUUGUAAGCCAUUGUUUUAUAGUAUUAUCACGAAGAAUUUCAUUAUAACCUGGCAAGUCUUGGAUGUAAGCCUUGUACGAACGACGCAUCUUUCUCUUGUUACCAAAUUCAUCGACACGUCCAACCUUUUUAGCAAGUUCCGUAAGACCAUAAAGCUCUAUUAAAUUCUGAUGGGCAGAAGGCCUCGUCGGUUGGUAGUCUACACUACCUACAUAGUGGUAUUCAGGAGCUUGCGCCAUGCAAAUAAAUUGACCAAUGUAACAAUAAGAAUAUAUUAUUGCAUUCAAAUUUUUUAAAUAUAUAUGCAAUGAAUGCUUUACUCUCUAAGUUGCUUAGCUGGAUAGUUUGGAGUAGUGGUUGGUGGUUUAAAGAAGCUAUAGCAUACUUGGCUAGUAUAAUUAUUGAGUUACUUCCAAGGGUAAUCGAUUUAACAUAAAUUGUAAUUAAUAAAUUGCAUCAAAA